This 331-nucleotide ribosomal RNA is filed under the name uncultured bacterium. RNAcentral's name for it is "bacterial SSU rRNA". It matches the Rfam family "Bacterial small subunit ribosomal RNA", at positions 568 to 898 of the family's 1533-position model. The record is from RNAcentral.
CGCGUAGGCGGCGGACCAAGUUGCGUGUGAAAGCCCCGGGCUCAACCUGGGAGGUGCGCGCGAGACUGGUUUGCUGGAGUUCGGGAGAGGAGCGUGGAAUUCCCAGUGUAGAGGUGAAAUUCGUAGAUAUUGGGAAGAACACCGGUGGCGAAGGCGGCGCUCUGGACCGAGACUGACGCUGAGGCGCGAAAGCGUGGGGAGCAAACAGGAUUAGAUACCCUGGUAGUCCACGCCGUAAACGAUGUGUGCUAGACGUUGGGGAGCUUAGCUCCUCGGUGUCGCAGCUAACGCUUUAAGCACACCGCCUGGGGAGUACGGCCGCAAGGUUAAA